This 1884-nucleotide ribosomal RNA is filed under the name Nilaparvata lugens (brown planthopper). RNAcentral's name for it is "bacterial LSU rRNA". It matches the Rfam family "Bacterial large subunit ribosomal RNA", at positions 590 to 2290 of the family's 2925-position model. Lineage: Eukaryota; Metazoa; Arthropoda; Insecta; Hemiptera; Delphacidae. The record is from RNAcentral.
GGUGUGACGGCGUGCCUUUUGAAGAAUGAGCCUGCGAGUUAGCGGUACGUGGCGAGGUUAACCCGUGUGGGGUAGCCGUAGCGAAAGCGAGUCCGAAUAGGGCGACCAUAGUCGCGUGUCCUAGACCCGAAGCGAAGUGAUCUAGCCAUGGGCAGGGUGAAGCGUCGGUAAGACGACGUGGAGGCCCGAACCCACUUCAGUUGAAAAUGGAGGGGAUGACCUGUGGUUAGGGGUGAAAGGCCAAUCAAACUUCGUGAUAGCUGGUUCUCCCCGAAAUGCAUUUAGGUGCAGCGUUGCGUGUUUCUUACCGGAGGUAGAGCUACUGGAUGGCUGAUGGGCCCAAAAAGGUUACUGACGUCAACCAAACUCCGAAUGCCGGUAAGUGUAAGCGUGGCAGUGAGACUGCGGGGGAUAAGCUUCGUAGUCGAGAGGGAAACAGCCCAGACCAUCAACUAAGGCCCCUAAGCGUGUGCUCAGUGGGAAAGCAUGUGGAGUUGCUUAGACAACCAGGAGGUUGGCUUAGAAGCAGCCACCCUUGAAAGAGUGCGUAAUAGCUCACUGGUCAAGUGAUUCUGCGGCGAUAAUGUAGCGGGGCUCAAGUACACCGCCGAAGUUGUGGCAUUGCUCUUGUGAUCGGCUGGCAUCCUUUGGGGUGUUGGUCCAGUCGGAGUGAUGGGUAGGGGAGCGUCGUGUGGGUGGUGAAGCUGCGGAGUGAUCCAGUGGUGGAACCUACACGAGUGAGAAUGCAGGCAUGAGUAGCGAAAGACGGGUGAGAAACCCGUCCGCCGAAUGACCAAGGGUUCCAGGGCUAGGCUAAUCCGCCCUGGGUGAGUCGGGACCUAAGGCGAGGCCGACAGGCGUAGUCGAUGGACAACGGGUUAUUAUUCCCGUACCGGCGAAGAACCGUCCAUACCGAGGCUGGGGAUACUAACCAUCCACUCGGCACCGUUUGCGUCAUCAUGUCCACUUGUGGGUGUGGUGGUGUUGGUGUUGAGUGCGUGGGACCUGAUCUGGUAGUAGGUAAGCGUGUUAACAGGUGUGACGCAGGAAGGUAGCCAAGCCGCGCGAUGGUUGUCGCGGUCUAAGGUGGUAGGGCGAGUCAUAGGCAAAUCCGUGACUCAUGUGCCUGAGAGCUGAUGGGACCCCACAUAGAGUGGGGGAUUUGGUGAUCCUAUGCUGCCGAGAAAAGCAUCGACGUGAGGUUCUAGCCGCCCGUACCCUAAACCAACUCAGGUGGUCAGGUAGAGAAUACUAAGGCGAUCGAGAGAAUCGUGGUUAAGGAACUCGGCAAAAUGCCCCCGUAACUUCGGGAGAAGGGGGGCCCGGACCGUGAACCAUCUUUGCGGUGGGGAGCGGGUAUGGGCCGCAGAGACCAGAGAGAAGCGACUGUUUACUAAAAACACAGGUCCGUGCGAAGUUGUAAGACGAUGUAUACGGACUGACGCCUGCCCGGUGCUGGAAGGUUAAGAGGACCUGUUAGACCCUUUCGGGGGUUGAAGCGGAGAAUUUAAGCCCCAGUAAACGGCGGUGGUAACUAUAACCAUCCUAAGGUAGCGAAAUUCCUUGUCGGGUAAGUUCCGACCUGCACGAAUGGCGUAACGACUCCCCUGCUGUCUCAACCACAGGCCCGGCGAAAUUGCAGUACGAGUAAAGAUGCUCGUUACGCGCGGCAGGACGAAAAGACCCCGGGACCUUCACUAUAGCUUGGUAUUGGUGUUCGGUUCGGUUUGUGUAGGAUAGGUGGGAGACUGUGAAGCUGACACGCUAGUGUUGGUGGAGUCGUUGUUGAAAUACCACUCUGGUCAUAUUGGAUAUCUAACUACGGACCCUGAUCGGGUUCUGGGACAGUGCCUGGUGGGUAGUUUAACUGGGGCGGUUGCCUCC